Molecule: ribosomal RNA, 850 nt
Filed under: uncultured bacterium
Lineage: Bacteria
Description: bacterial SSU rRNA
Rfam family: Bacterial small subunit ribosomal RNA
Source: RNAcentral
GGGUAUUGGCGGGCGCGAAUUCGCCCUUCAGGCCUAACAUGCAAGUCGAACGAGGCGCUUUUUGUAGCAAUACGAGGAGCGUCCUAGUGGCGAACGGGUGAGUAACGCGUGGGUGACCUGCCCCAAAGUGUGGGAUAACAGUCCGAAAGGAUUGCUAAUACCGCAUGUGGUCGCUGAGUUUAGAAGUUAGCGACUAAAGCAGCAAUGCGCUUUGGGAGGGACCUGCGUCCCAUCAGCUAGUUGGUAAGGUAACGGCUUACCAAGGCGACGACGGGUAGGGGACCUGAGAGGGUGGCCCCCCACAAUGGAACUGAAACACGGUCCAUACACCUACGGGUGGCAGCAGUAGGGAAUAUUGCACAAUGGGCGAAAGCCUGAUGCAGCAACGCCGCGUGCGCGAAGAAGGUCUUCGGAUUGUAAAGCGCUUUUCUGGGAGAUGAGAAAGGACAGUAUCCCAGGAAUAAGUCUCGGCUAACUACGCGCCAGCAGCCGCGGUAACACGUAGGAGGCGAGCGUUAUCCGGAUUCACUGGGCGUAAAGCGCGUGCAGGCGGUUCGGUAAGUUGGGCGUGAAAUCUCCCGGCUCAACUGGGAGAGGUCGUUCAAUACUACCGGACUUGAGAGCGAUAGAGGAAAAUGGAAUUCCCGGUGUAGUGGUGAAAUGCGUAGAUAUCGGGAGGAACACCGGUGGCGAAAGCGAUUUUCUGGAUCGUUUCUGACGCUCAGACGCGAAAGCUAGGGUAGCAAGCGGGAUUAGAGACCCCGGUAGUCCUAGCCGUAAACGAUGUGAGCUUGGCGUCGGUGGCUUAAACUCCAUCGGUGCCGAAGCCAACGCGAUAAGUUCACCGCCU